AUUGAACGCUGGCGGCAUGCCUUACACAUGCAAGUCGAACGGCAGCGGACCUUCGGGUGCCGGCGAGUGGCGAACGGGUGAGUAAUAUAUCGGAACGGUACCUUUCAGUGGGGGAGUAACGUAGCGAAAGUUACGCUAAUACCGCAUAUUCUGUGAGCAGGAAAGCNGGGGAUCGCAAGACCUUGCGCUGAUUGAGCGGCCGAUAUCAGAUUAGCUAGUUGGUGAGGUAAAGGCUCACCAAGGCGACGAUCUGUAGCGGGUCUGAGAGGAUGAUCCGCCACACUGGAACUGAGACACGGUCCAGACUCCUACGGGAGGCAGCAGUGGGGAAUUUUGGACAAUGGGCGCAAGCCUGAUCCAGCCAUGCCGCGUGAGUGAAGAAGGCCUCGGUGU
RNAcentral lists this ribosomal RNA (393 nucleotides) under uncultured bacterium. RNAcentral's name for it is "bacterial SSU rRNA". It matches the Rfam family "Bacterial small subunit ribosomal RNA", at positions 30 to 423 of the family's 1533-position model. The record is from RNAcentral.